UUCACACGCUUCAGUUCACAACUUCCAUCCAGAAUCCUACUUCUCUGAUUGUCCUCAUGGGGAAAGUAUGCUAUUUCCUUCAUCCUACAAGAUGCUUCUCACUGACUCUAUCCAUAUUCUUCUCAUCCUUCAAGAGCCAAGUCAAAUCUCUCUGCUUCCAAUAAGCCUUCCUUGUUACACUCAGAAAUGGAAUGAAUCCCCAAGAUGGCUUAAGGAUGCCCUUCUGUUUUGGAAUGCUUUAUCUUGGUGUAUAUCAAGGUUGGUUCAGUUUACCAGAGAAAAGAUGCCAGCUCUACAUCAAGGGUCAGGAAUAUAAAGAAGAGAAGUGGCCAUUUUCUUAAUCCAGUCUAUCAUUGUUGGACAUUUGGGUUGGUUCCAAGUCUUUGCUAUUUGUCAUAAAGAAGAAUAUUUGAAGCUCUAUAAAUAUGUUGCUUUACAUGGCAAAAAGGGCUUUACAGAUCUGAGUACACUGGAUUAUCUGGGUGGGCACAA
RNAcentral lists this small RNA (492 nucleotides) under Pan troglodytes (chimpanzee). Its description in RNAcentral is "processed transcript". Lineage: Eukaryota; Metazoa; Chordata; Mammalia; Primates; Hominidae. The record is from RNAcentral.